CGCGGUCCUCGGUAGUGGCUUCCGGGAAGAAACUUACACCAGUUUCCCGCCCGUGGGCCUCGAUCGAAGACCGGG
Molecule: regulatory RNA element, 75 nt
Organism: Arthrobacter sp.
Lineage: Bacteria; Bacillati; Actinomycetota; Actinomycetes; Micrococcales; Micrococcaceae
Rfam family: Actino-pnp RNA
Source: Rfam